RNAcentral lists this ribosomal RNA (336 nucleotides) under Triticum aestivum (bread wheat). RNAcentral's name for it is "partial small subunit ribosomal RNA". Lineage: Eukaryota; Viridiplantae; Streptophyta; Magnoliopsida; Poales; Poaceae. The record is from RNAcentral.
AUGGCCAUGGAGCGGAGGCCGCGCCAUUGUCACGAGGAGUUCCAUGUCCGAGUCGUCGGCAAGGUGCGUCAUCAUCGACAACAUGGAGACGAGUCACUGGUGAGUUGCAUCACCAGCGACAAACAUGGAGGCGGGUCACCGGCGAGUUGCGGCACCGGUGGCAAACAUGCGGCAGCGAGCAUGCCAUGGCGGUGGGCUCAUGGUGAAGGCGCAAGAGUUGUGGCUCUCAUCGAGGCCAACGACGAUGGCGGCAAUCGGCGUGACAAGAUGGCAUUGGCGGCCGUCUGCGUGUUGCAUCGACGACGUCAACAAUCAUUGGCUUCAAGAGAGAAAUAA